UUUAUGGAGAGUUUGAUCCUGGCUCAGGAUGAACGCUGGCGGCGUGCCUAAUACAUGCAAGUCGAGCGAACGGACGAGAAGCUUGCUUCUCUGAUGUUAGCGGCGGACGGGUGAGUAACACGUGGAUAACCUACCUAUAAGACUGGGAUAACUUCGGGAAACCGGAGCUAAUACCGGAUAAUAUUUUGAACCGCAUGAUUCAAAAGUGAAAGACGGUCUUGCUGUCACUUAUAGAUGGAUCCGCGCUGCAUUAGCUAGUUGGUAAGGUAACGGCUUACCAAGGCAACGAUGCAUAGCCGACCUGAGAGGGUGAUCGGCCACACUGGAACUGAGACACGGUCCAGACUCCUACGGGAGGCAGCAGUAGGGAAUCUUCCGCAAUGGGCGAAAGCCUGACGGAGCAACGCCGCGUGAGUGAUGAAGGUCUUCGGAUCGUAAAACUCUGUUAUUAGGGAAGAACAUAUGUGUAAGUAACUGUGCACAUCUUGACGGUACCUAAUCAGAAAGCCACGGCUAACUACGUGCCAGCAGCCGCGGUAAUACGUAGGUGGCAAGCGUUAUCCGGAAUUAUUGGGCGUAAAGCGCGCGUAGGCGGUUUUUUAAGUCUGAUGUGAAAGCCCACGGCUCAACCGUGGAGGGUCAUUGGAAACUGGAAAACUUGAGUGCAGAAGAGGAAAGUGGAAUUCCAUGUGUAGCGGUGAAAUGCGCAGAGAUAUGGAGGAACACCAGUGGCGAAGGCGACUUUCUGGUCUGUAACUGACGCUGAUGUGCGAAAGCGUGGGGAUCAAACAGGAUUAGAUACCCUGGUAGUCCACGCCGUAAACGAUGAGUGCUAAGUGUUAGGGGGUUUCCGCCCCUUAGUGCUGCAGCUAACGCAUUAAGCACUCCGCCUGGGGAGUACGACCGCAAGGUUGAAACUCAAAGGAAUUGACGGGGACCCGCACAAGCGGUGGAGCAUGUGGUUUAAUUCGAAGCAACGCGAAGAACCUUACCAAAUCUUGACAUCCUUUGACAACUCUAGAGAUAGAGCCUUCCCCUUCGGGGGACAAAGUGACAGGUGGUGCAUGGUUGUCGUCAGCUCGUGUCGUGAGAUGUUGGGUUAAGUCCCGCAACGAGCGCAACCCUUAAGCUUAGUUGCCAUCAUUAAGUUGGGCACUCUAAGUUGACUGCCGGUGACAAACCGGAGGAAGGUGGGGAUGACGUCAAAU
Molecule: ribosomal RNA, 1208 nt
Filed under: Staphylococcus aureus
Lineage: Bacteria; Bacillati; Bacillota; Bacilli; Caryophanales; Staphylococcaceae
Description: bacterial SSU rRNA
Rfam family: Bacterial small subunit ribosomal RNA
Source: RNAcentral